AUCACCCAGGCGCCCCUAGUCUCAUUUUAAAAUGGAGCUACACUUCACAGUCGUUUAAAAAUGAAUAACACUCAGUUUCUUGCCUCCCAUUGCCUCAUUUGUUACGCCUGACGCUGUCCUACCCCAAAACAUGGAACCAGCACCUGAUGUCCUCCCUAGGGGGCCCUCAGAUAUUCUAGAAGUAUACUCAGGAAAACCUCCAGUAAGUAAGAGAUUAAAAUCAAGAACGCAGCUGAAGCUGUAAAAUCACAAAAAGAGUUCAGCAUUUGACGUAUGACAGGAAUAUCUGAUGAAUGGAAAUGGCCAAAGGAUGGGAAGCAAAAGAACUAGAAAUCCCACCAGCUGACUAAUCAAACCUUGAAGAAUACAGUAUUGGGUGAAUGCAUAUGACUUCUCAUUUUCAUCAGACUCAUAUCAACAGUUAGCGAAUUCCAAUCUUAAGGCUAUUCAGAAUCCUAACAGAAAUUAGUUGGUAGUCAGAUUUCAUUUGUAUAGCGUUUUCCAUGUGACUGAAUUUGUACAAUGUGACUGAGUACAGUCUGGAAGAGUCUUUACAAAAGAAGAUAUCUCUAAGUAUGAAAAAGGACUAGAUGAUCCAAGAAAGUUAUAGAGUGCUGUAAGAAGCACAGAAGUUUCUUAAAACGUAGCGAGAUCCAACGGAGAUUGUUUGCAGUAGUGGGAGGGGGAAAAAUGCCAUUAAAGUUUAAUAGAGUAACAAAGAUGAGGUAGGAAAGAGAUGCUAAAUUAUUUCUACCAAAGGGAGAUUGGAAAGCAGGUGAAGAAACACCAUUACUUUGUACAAGUAUGAGACAUGGGGUAACGUAUGAGUCCAUCUAUAAAUUUAACAGAGCAACUCCAGUCGGUCUUACCCACGUCAUAUUCCCUUGUAAUACUUAAAACUU
Long non-coding RNA from Herpailurus yagouaroundi (jaguarundi), 902 nucleotides. RefSeq lists it as uncharacterized. NCBI's taxonomy places the organism in Eukaryota, Metazoa, Chordata, Mammalia, Carnivora, Felidae. The record is from RefSeq and is a predicted model, not a curated record. The transcript is spliced from 3 exons.